RNAcentral lists this ribosomal RNA (446 nucleotides) under uncultured bacterium. RNAcentral's name for it is "partial 16S ribosomal RNA". It matches the Rfam family "Bacterial small subunit ribosomal RNA", at positions 338 to 795 of the family's 1533-position model. The record is from RNAcentral.
CCUACGGGAGGCAGCAGUCGAGAAUCAUUCACAAUGGGGGAAACCCUGAUGGUGCGACGCCGCGUGGGGGAAUGAAGGUCUUCGGAUUGUAAACCCCUGUCAUGUGGGAGCAAAUUAAAAAGAUAGUACCACAAAAGGAAGAGACGGCUAACUCUGUGCCAGCAGCCGCGGGAAUACAGAGGUCUCAAGCGUUGUUCGGAAUCACUGGGCGUAAAGCGUGCGUAGGCUGUUUCGUAAGUCGUGUGUGAAAGGCGCGGGCUCAACCCGCGGACGGCACAUGAUACUGCGAGACUAGAGUAAUGGAGGGGGAACCGGAAUGCUCGGUGUAGCAGUGAAAUGCGUAGAUAUCGAGAGGAACACUCGUGGCGAAGGCGGGUUCCUGGACAUUAACUGACGCUGAGGCACGAAGGCCAGGGGAGCGAAAGGGAUUAGAUACCCUUGUAGUC